GAAUGCUGACAUAAGUAACGAUAAAGCGGGUGAAAAGCCCGCUCGCCGGAAGACCAAGGGUUCCUGUCCAACGUUAAUCGGGGCAGGGUGAGUCGACCCCUAAGGCGAGGCCGAAAGGCGUAGUCGAUGGGAAACGGGUUAAUAUUCCCGUACUUGGUGUUACUGCGAAGGGGGGACGGAGAAGGCUAUGUUGGCCGGGCGACGGUUGUCCCGGUUUAAGCGUGUAGGUGUGUGUUCCAGGUAAAUCCGGUUCACUUUAACACUGAGGCGUGACGACGAGGCACUACGGUGCUGAAGCAACAAAUGCCCUGCUUCCAGGAAAAGCCUCUAAGCAUCAGGUAACAUCAAAUCGUACCCCAAACCGACACAGGUGGUCAGGUAGAGAAUACCAAGGCGCUUGAGAGAACUCGGGUGAAGGAACUAGGCAAAAUGGUGCCGUAACUUCGGGAGAAGGCACGCUGACACGUAGGUGAAGUGAUUUACUCAUGGAGCUGAAGUCAGUCGAAGAUACCAGCUGGCUGCAACUGUUUAUUAAAAACACAGCACUGUGCAAACACGAAAGUGGACGUAUACGGUGUGACGCCUGCCCGGUGCCGGAAGGUUAAUUGAUGGGGUCAGCGCAAGCGAAGCUCCUGAUCGAAGCCCCGGUAAACGGCGGCCGUAACUAUAACGGUCCUAAGGUAGCGAAAUUCCUUGUCGGGUAAGUUCCGACCUGCACGAAUGGCGUAAUGAUGGCCAGGCUGUCUCCACCCGAGACUCAGUGAAAUUGAACUCGCUGUGAAGAUGCAGUGUACCCGCGGCAAGACGGAAAGACCCCGUGAACCUUUACUAUAGCUUGACACUGAACAUUGAGCCUUGAUGUGUAGGAUAGGUGGGAGGCUUUGAAGCGUGGACGCCAGUCUGCGUGGAGCCGACCUUGAAAUACCACCCUUUAAUGUUUGAUGUUCUAACGUGGACCCGUAAUCCGGGUUGCGGACAGUGUCUGGUGGGUAGUUUGACUGGGGCGGUCUCCUCCUAAAGAGUAACGGAGGAGCACGAAGGUUGGCUAAUCCUGGUCGGACAUCAGGAGGUUAGUGCAAUGGCAUAAGCCAGCUUGACUGCGAGCGUGACGGCGCGAGCAGGUGCGAAAGCAGGUCAUAGUGAUCCGGUGGUUCUGAAUGGAAGGGCCAUCGCUCAACGGAUAAAAGGUACUCCGGGGAUAACAGGCUGAUACCGCCCAAGAGUUCAUAUCGACGGCGGUGUUUGGCACCUCGAUGUCGGCUCAUCACAUCCUGGGGCUGAAGUAGGUCCCAAGGGUAUGGCUGUUCGCCAUUUAAAGUGGUACGCGAGCUGGGUUUAGAACGUCGUGAGACAGUUCGGUCCCUAUCUGCCGUGGGCGCUGGAGAACUGAGGGGGGCUGCUCCUAGUACGAGAGGACCGGAGUGGACGCAUCACUGGUGUUCGGGUUGUCAUGCCAAUGGCACUGCCCGGUAGCUAAAUGCGGAAGAGA
This 1489-nucleotide ribosomal RNA is filed under the name Salmonella enterica subsp. enterica. RNAcentral's name for it is "partial 23S ribosomal RNA". It matches the Rfam family "Bacterial large subunit ribosomal RNA", at positions 1292 to 2764 of the family's 2925-position model. Lineage: Bacteria; Pseudomonadati; Pseudomonadota; Gammaproteobacteria; Enterobacterales; Enterobacteriaceae. The record is from RNAcentral.